GACGAACGCUGGCGGCGUGCUUAACACAUGCAAGUCGAACGGAAAGGCCCUGCUUUUGUGGGGUGCUCGAGUGGCGAACGGGUGAGUAACACGUGAGUAACCUGCCCUUGACUUUGGGAUAACUUCAGGAAACUGGGGCUAAUACCGGAUAGGAGCUCCUGCUGCAUGGUGGGGGUUGGAAAGUUUCGGCGGUUGGGGAUGGACUCGCGGCUUAUCAGCUUGUUGGUGGGGUAGUGGCUUACCAAGGCUUUGACGGGUAGCCGGCCUGAGAGGGUGACCGGCCAGAUUGGGACUGAGAUACGGCCCAGACUCCUACGGGAGGCAGAAGUGGGGAAUAUUGCACAAUGGGCGGAAGCCUGAUGCAGCAACGCCGCGUGCGGGAUGACGGCCUUCGGGUUGUAAACCGCUUUCGCCUGUGACGAAGCGUGAGUGACGGUAAUGGGUAAAGAAGCACCGGCUAACUACGUG
This 468-nucleotide ribosomal RNA is filed under the name uncultured bacterium. RNAcentral describes it as "partial 16S ribosomal RNA". It matches the Rfam family "Bacterial small subunit ribosomal RNA", at positions 28 to 507 of the family's 1533-position model. The record is from RNAcentral.